Molecule: regulatory RNA element, 42 nt
Organism: Sus scrofa (pig)
Lineage: Eukaryota; Metazoa; Chordata; Mammalia; Artiodactyla; Suidae
Rfam family: MAT2A 3'UTR stem loop D
Source: Rfam
UCUGGGGUGUGGCAUACGUACAGAGAAGCCAUACACCUCAGG